CCUACGGGAGGCAGCAGUGAGGAAUAUUGGUCAAUGGCCGUAAGGCUGAACCAGCCAAGUCGCGUGCAGGAAGAAGGAUCUAUGGUUUGUAAACUUCUUUUAUAGGGGAAUAAAGGUAUCCACGUGUGGAUAUUUGCAUGUACCCUAUGAAUAAGCAUCGGCUAACUCCGUGCCAGCAGCCGCGGUAAUCCGGAGUAUGCGAGCGUUAUCCGGAUUUAGUGGGUUUAAAGGGUGCGUAGGUUGUUUUUUAAGUCAGCGGUGAAAGUUUGUGGCUCAACCAUAAAAUUGCCGUUGAAACUGGAAGACUUGAGUGUGUUUGAGGUAGGCGGAAUGCGUGGUGUAGCGGUGAAAUGCAUAGAUAUCACGCAGAAAUCCGAUUGCGAAGGCAGCUUACUAAGCCAUAACUGACACUGAAGCACGAAAGCGUGGGGAUCAAACAGGAUUAGAUACCCUGGUAGUC
RNAcentral lists this ribosomal RNA (460 nucleotides) under uncultured bacterium. Its description in RNAcentral is "partial 16S ribosomal RNA". It matches the Rfam family "Bacterial small subunit ribosomal RNA", at positions 338 to 795 of the family's 1533-position model. The record is from RNAcentral.